This 497-nucleotide ribosomal RNA is filed under the name uncultured bacterium. Its description in RNAcentral is "partial 16S ribosomal RNA". It matches the Rfam family "Bacterial small subunit ribosomal RNA", at positions 28 to 507 of the family's 1533-position model. The record is from RNAcentral.
GACGAACGCUGGCGGCGUGCCUAAUACAUGCAAGUUGAGCGAUGAAGAUUGGUGCUUGCACCAAUUUGAAGAGCAGCGAACGGGUGAGUAACGCGUGGGGAAUCUGCCUUUGAGCGGGGGACAACAUUUGGAAACGAAUGCUAAUACCGCAUAACAACUUUAAACAUAAGUUUUAAGUUUGAAAGAUGCAAUUGCAUCACUCAAAGAUGAUCCCGCGUUGUAUUAGCUAGUUGGUGAGGUAAAGGCUCACCAAGGCGAUGAUACAUAGCCGACCUGAGAGGGUGAUCGGCCACAAUGGGACUGAGACACGGCCCAAACUCCUACGGGAGGCAGCAGUAGGGAAUCUUCGGCAAUGGACGAAAGUCUGACCGAGCAACGCCGCGGGAGGGAAGAAGGGUGUCGGAUCGGAAAACUCUGUUGGUAGAGAAGAACGUUGGUGAGAGUGGAAAGCUCAUCAAGUGACGGUAACUACACAGAAAGGGACGGCUAACUACGUG